Molecule: ribosomal RNA, 468 nt
Filed under: uncultured bacterium
Lineage: Bacteria
Description: partial 16S ribosomal RNA
Rfam family: Bacterial small subunit ribosomal RNA
Source: RNAcentral
GACGAACGCUGGCGGCGUGCUUAACACAUGCAAGUCGAACGGACAGGCGCUGCUUUUGUGGGGUGCACGAGUGGCGAAGGGGUGAGUAACACGCGAGUAACCCGUCCUUGAAUUUGGGAUAACUUUAGGAAAAUGGGGCUAAUACAGGAUAGGAGAUAUUGAUGCAUGGUGGGGGAUGGAAAGUUUCGGCGGUUGGGGCUGGACUAGCGGCUUAUCAGCUCGUUGGUGGGGUAGUGGCUUACCAAGUGUUUGAAUGGUAGCCGGCCUUGGAGGGUGACCAGCGACAUUGGGACUGAGGGACGCACCAGACGCCAACGGUAGGCAACAGUCGGAAGUAUUGCACAGUGAGCGGAAGCCAGAUGCGGCAGCGCCGCGUGCGGAAUGACGGGCUUCGGGGGAUGAACCGCUGUCGCCGGAGACGAAGCGUUAUUGACGGUAAUGGGUAAAGAAGCACCGGCUAACUACGUG